This 490-nucleotide ribosomal RNA is filed under the name uncultured bacterium. RNAcentral describes it as "partial 16S ribosomal RNA". It matches the Rfam family "Bacterial small subunit ribosomal RNA", at positions 29 to 506 of the family's 1533-position model. The record is from RNAcentral.
GUGAACGCUGGCGGUAGGCCUAACACAUGCAAGUCGAACGGCAGCACAGUAAGAGCUUGCUCUUACGGGUGGCGAGUGGCGGACGGGUGAGGAAUACAUCGGAAUCUACUUUUUCGUGGGGGAUAACGUAGGGAAACUUACGCUAAUACCGCAUACGACCUACGGGUGAAAGCAGGGGAUCUUCGGACCUUGCGCGAUUGAAUGAGCCGAUGUCGGAUUAGCUAGUUGGCGGGGUAAAGGCCCACCAAGGCGACGAUCCGUAGCUGGUCUGAGAGGAUGAUCAGCCACACUGGAACUGAGACACGGUCCAGACUCCUACGGGAGGCAGCAGUGGGGAAUAUUGGACAAUGGGCGCAAGCCUGAUCCAGCCAUACCGCGUGGGUGAAGAAGGCCUUCGGGUUGUAAAGCCCUUUUGUUGGGAAAGAAGAGCAGCAGGUUAAUACCCCGCUGUUCUGACGGUACCCAAAGAAUAAGCACCGGCUAACUUCGU